RNAcentral lists this long non-coding RNA (504 nucleotides) under Homo sapiens (human). RNAcentral describes it as "HSALNT0272580". Lineage: Eukaryota; Metazoa; Chordata; Mammalia; Primates; Hominidae. The record is from RNAcentral.
GCACCUGAUAGGGACGUAUUGAUUUAAUGAAUGAUUUUUCUGUUUGUAAGAGACCAAUGGAACAGUUUGCUUCCUUCCAGCAGGAUCAGCAAUACACCAUCACCAUCCUACCUCAGCUAUACUCUCUCCAGCCUUCUGUUACAGCCUGUUGUACAGGAAUUCCCUUUCUCUUUCACUGGACAUCACUCCAGUCCCUCACACUAGACGUAUGAAUAGACCUGUUGAACAAGAAGCCGCCAUUUCACUGGACAGCUUGGCAUACUUAUUUGCCUAGAUGCCUGCUUAGUUUGGCAGUGGCAAGAGCUCUUCAUAUCAGAACUGAUUUGGGGCCAUUGGGGAGGAGAUGCUGACCUUCUAACUGUAAUCCAACUGCACGCAACUAUUCUAAAGAAGAUGAAAGCAUUUUUCACCCCUUUGUUGUGUAAUAAAUACAGUCUUUAUAUUUUGUUGCAUUUUAAGUUUGAUUUUAUAAUGAUCUGUGAAACAAAAUUGUUUUCAAUAAAC